Molecule: ribosomal RNA, 450 nt
Filed under: uncultured Longilinea sp.
Lineage: Bacteria; Bacillati; Chloroflexota; Anaerolineae; Anaerolineales; Anaerolineaceae
Description: bacterial SSU rRNA
Rfam family: Bacterial small subunit ribosomal RNA
Source: RNAcentral
CCCCGCACAAGCAGCGGAGCGUGUGGUUUAAUUCGAUGUUACACGAAGAAUCUUACCAGGGUUUGACAUGCAAGUGGUAGGAAACCGAAAGGUGACCGACCCUUCGGGGAGCUUGCACAGGUGCUGCAUGGCUGUCGUCAGCUCGUGUCGUGAGAUGUUCGGUUAAGUCCGCUAACGAGCGCAACCCUCGCUGUGUGUUAUAUGUGUCACACGGGACUGCCGGUCUUAAGCCGGAGGAAGGUGGGGAUGAUGUCAAGUCAGCAUGGCCUUUAUAGGUGGGGCUACACACGUCAUACAAUGGCCGGUACAGAGGGUAGCCAACCCGCGAGGGGGAGCCAAUCCCACAAAGCCGGUCGUAGUCCGGAUCGCAGUCUGCAACUCGACUGCGUGAAGUCGGAAUCGCUAGUAAUCGCGGAUCAGCAUGUCGCGGUGAAUACGUUCCCGGGUCUU